ACGGGGUGCAGCAGGCGCGAAAACAUUACAAUGCGGGAAACCGCGAUAAGGGGAUACCGAGUGCCAGCAUAUUAUGUUGGCUGUCCACAUGUGUAAACGGCAUGUGUUAGCAAGGGCCGGGCAAGACCGGUGCCAGCCGCCGCGGUAACACCGGCGGCCCGAGUGGUAAUCACUUUUAUUGGGUCUAAAGGGUCCGUAGCCGGUUUGAUCAGUUCUUCGGGAAAUCUGACAGCUCAACUGUUAGGCUUCCGGGGAAUACUGUCAGACUUGGGACCGGGAGAGGUAAGAGGUACUACAGGGGUAGGAGUGAAAUCUUGUAAUCCCUGUGGGACCACCAGUGGCGAAGGCGUCUUACCAGAACGGGUCCGACGGUGAGGGACGAAAGCUGGGGGCACGAACCGGAUUAGAUACCCGGGUAGUCCCAGCCGUAAACGAUGUUCGCUAGGUGUCAGGGACGGUGCGACCGUUUCUGGUGCCGUAGGGAAGCCGUGAAGCGAACCACCUGGGAAGUACGGCCGCAAGGCUGAAACUUAAAGGAAUUGGCGGGGGAGCAC
RNAcentral lists this ribosomal RNA (554 nucleotides) under uncultured archaeon. RNAcentral describes it as "bacterial SSU rRNA". It matches the Rfam family "Archaeal small subunit ribosomal RNA", at positions 325 to 879 of the family's 1478-position model. The record is from RNAcentral.